RNAcentral lists this ribosomal RNA (492 nucleotides) under uncultured bacterium. RNAcentral's name for it is "partial 16S ribosomal RNA". It matches the Rfam family "Bacterial small subunit ribosomal RNA", at positions 29 to 507 of the family's 1533-position model. The record is from RNAcentral.
AGUGAACGCUGGCGGUAGGCCUAACACAUGCAAGUCGAACGACAGCACAGUAAGAGCUUGCUCUUACGGGUGGCGAGUGGCGGACGGGUGAGGAAUACAUCGGAAUCUACUUUUUCGUGGGGAAUAACGUAGGGAAACUUACGCUAAUACCGCAUACGACCUACGGGUGAAAGCAGGGGAUCUUCGGACCUUGCGCGAUUGAAUGAGCCGAUGUCGGAUUAGCUAGUUGGCGGGGUAAAGGCCCACCAAGGCGACGAUCCGUAGCUGGUCUGAGAGGAUGAUCAGCCACACUGGAACUGAGACACGGUCCAGACUCCUACGGGAGGCAGCAGUGGGGAAUAUUGGACAAUGGGCGCAAGCCUGAUCCAGCCAUACCGCGUGGGUGAAGAAGGCCUUCGGGUUGUAAAGCCCUUUUGUUGGGAAAGAAAAGCAGCAGGUUAAUACCCCGCUGUUCUGACGGUACCCAAAGAAUAAGCACCGGCUAACUUCGUG